GCUAAAUCGUGAAUCCCUUUUUUCCCUAUUUCGUGAACCGAUUCGUGAAUCCCUAAUCCGUGAAUCCAUUGAAGAAUCCCUAAUUCAAAAUCCCUCGUUAAAGGGUUUCUGAAUCAUCAAAGGUUUUCCAGAACUAUCGGCUUUGUGGAUGCUGGAAUCAACUUUUCUUUGCAAGUUUUCAAGAAUGCUCAUCUUACUUAGUGGAGGCAGUAAGCAGUUGUUGAAUGCAAGUUAAUUUGGAACCGAAGCACUAUAUCAUCCGGGAUUUUGCAAAGACAACUCUUUCUCAAGAU
Lathyrus oleraceus (garden pea) is the source of this 293-nucleotide long non-coding RNA. RefSeq lists it as uncharacterized. NCBI's taxonomy places the organism in Eukaryota, Viridiplantae, Streptophyta, Magnoliopsida, Fabales, Fabaceae. The transcript is spliced from 3 exons. The record is from RefSeq and is a predicted model, not a curated record.